GGGCCCGCACAAGCGGUGGAUUAUGUGGUUUAAUUCGAAGCAACGCGCAGAACCUUACCUGGGCCUGAACUCCUACGAACCCGAAGUAAUGUUUGGGGUGCCCUCACGGGAAUGUAGAGAGAGGCGCUGCAUGGCUGUCGUCAGCUCGUGUUGUGAAUGUUGGGUUAAGUCUCGCAACGAGCGCAACCCCCGUUCUUAGUUGCCAGUAUUAAGUUAGGCACUCUAGGAAGACUGCCCGGGGUUAACCGGGAGGAAGGUGGGGAUGAUGUCAAGUCCUCAUGGCCCUUAUGUCCAGGGCGACACACGUAAUACAAUGGUUGAUACAAUGGGACGCGAACUCGCAAGAGGGUGCCAAUCUCAAAAAAUCAAUCUCAGUCCGGAUUGGAGUCUGCAACUCGACUCCAUGAAGUUGGAAUCGCUAGUAAUCGCGGAUCAGCACGCCG
Molecule: ribosomal RNA, 443 nt
Filed under: uncultured Pseudomonadota bacterium
Lineage: Bacteria; Pseudomonadati; Pseudomonadota
Description: bacterial SSU rRNA
Rfam family: Bacterial small subunit ribosomal RNA
Source: RNAcentral